AAAACUGCAACUUAAACUCUCGGUAUCCCAAUAAGGAAAAAAUCCGCUAUACGAGAGUACUCAGUGCAUAAAAAAGAUAAACAUUAUAAAGAAUGGUAGAAAAAAAGUGACUGGACUGGUAAAAUGGAGAAGAUUGGCUUCAAAAAUACAAGAUUACUAUGUACAUUAUAUAUGAGUGUGCAAGGCAGCAGCUAGCAUAUGGGACCUAUCUUCCCUGCACAAUGCCACUGAACACUUGACUGUUCCCAGCAAGAGUUGCUUCCCACUCCACUGAGGAUAACAUUAUCUGUGAAAGUGUGAUCACCACGUGCUUCAUGUCCGGUCUCAAUAUUGGAUCAUCAUCCGCACACUGCUUAGCCAGCAUAGCCACCUUGAAAACACAGUCAGAAGGGUACAAAUCCAUCAAACUGGGAUCCAGCUGGUCCUUCAAGCUUGUCAUACUAGUGGAGUCUGGUGAGUUCCUCAGAGCUGCCAGCAUAAUGGACACUAAGGAGCGUCUUUCUGCAGUUUUCAUCACAUUGCCUUCAGUCCGGGUGACGGCCUCUUUACCUGUCAGCAUCUCAAAAAGAACAACACCAAA
This 580-nucleotide unclassified non-coding RNA is filed under the name Hevea brasiliensis (rubber tree). Lineage: Eukaryota; Viridiplantae; Streptophyta; Magnoliopsida; Malpighiales; Euphorbiaceae. The record is from RNAcentral.